CCUCGAUGUCGGCUCGUCACAUCCUGGGGCUGGAGAAGGUCCCAAGGGUUGGGCUGUUCGCCCAUUAAAGUGGCACGCGAGCUGGGUUCAGAACGUCGCAAGACAGUUCGGUCUCUAUCUGUUGCGGGCGUAGGAGUAUUGCGGAGAGCUGUCUCCAGUACGAGAGGACCGGGAUGGACGUACCUCUAGUGUACCUGUUGUGGCGCCGGCUGCAUUGCAGGGUAGCUAUGUACGGAACGGAUAAGCGCUGAAAGCAUCUAAGCGCGAAGCCAACUCCAAGAUGAGUACUCCAUGAGGGUCGUGGAAGAUGACCACGUUGAUAGGUUACAGGUGGAAGCGCAGUAAUGUGUGGAGCCGAGUAAUACUAAUUACCCGAAAGCUUCCUUUA
This 388-nucleotide ribosomal RNA is filed under the name Bacteroidota bacterium. RNAcentral's name for it is "bacterial LSU rRNA". It matches the Rfam family "Bacterial large subunit ribosomal RNA", at positions 2524 to 2925 of the family's 2925-position model. Lineage: Bacteria; Pseudomonadati; Bacteroidota. The record is from RNAcentral.